UGCCAGCCGCCGCGGUAAUACAGAGGGUGCAAGCGUUAAUCGGAAUUACUGGGCGUAAAGAGCGCGUAGGUGGUUUGUUAAGUCACGUGUGAAAGCCCUGAGCUCAACUCAGGAACUGCAUAUGAUACUGACAAUCUAGAGUAUAGUAGAGGGAAGUGGAAUUUCCGGUGUAGCGGUGAAAUGCAUAGAUAUCGGAAGGAACAUCAGAGGCGAAGGCGACUUCUUGGGCUAUUACUGACACUGAGGCGCGAAAGCGUGGGUAGCAAACAGGAUUAGAUA
Molecule: ribosomal RNA, 279 nt
Filed under: uncultured bacterium
Lineage: Bacteria
Description: partial 16S ribosomal RNA
Rfam family: Bacterial small subunit ribosomal RNA
Source: RNAcentral